RNAcentral lists this non-coding RNA (159 nucleotides) under bovine gut metagenome. The record is from RNAcentral.
CGGCCUCCGCGCGGAGGAUGGGGUGAAAAGGGAAUCAGGUGCGAAUCCUGAGCAGACACCGCUGCUGUAAGUUCCGCCAAAGUCUUUGACAGUCAAGCCACUGCCCUUCGGGCGGGAAGGCGUCAAAGCGGGAACGAGCCAGAAGACCUGCCGAGAUCG